CAGUGUCCCCAUGUCUCCCAGUGUCUCCCAGUGUCCCAAUGUCACUAGGACGCUAGGGGACACUUAGAGACAUUGGGACACUGGGAGACAUGGGGACACU
This 100-nucleotide microRNA precursor is filed under the name Pelobates cultripes (western spadefoot toad). The record is from RNAcentral. Lineage: Eukaryota; Metazoa; Chordata; Amphibia; Anura; Pelobatidae.